CAGUAGCCGCGGGAAAACGUAUGUCGCAAGCGUUAUCCGGAAUUAUUGGGCAUAAAGGGCAUCUAGGCGGCCAGACAAGUCUGGGGUGAAAACUUGCGGCUCAACCGCAAGCCUGCCCUGGAAACUGUUUGGCUAGAGUGCUGGAGAGGUGGACGGAACUGCACGAGUAGAGGUGAAAUUCGUAGAUAUGUGCAGGAAUGCCGAUGAUGAAGAUAGUUCACUGGACGGCAACUGACGCUGAAGUGCGAAAGCUAGGGGAGCGAACAGGAUUAGAUACCCCAGUAGUCCCUGUCUCUUAUAU
Molecule: ribosomal RNA, 301 nt
Filed under: uncultured bacterium
Lineage: Bacteria
Description: partial 16S ribosomal RNA
Rfam family: Bacterial small subunit ribosomal RNA
Source: RNAcentral